RNAcentral lists this ribosomal RNA (482 nucleotides) under uncultured bacterium. RNAcentral's name for it is "bacterial SSU rRNA". It matches the Rfam family "Bacterial small subunit ribosomal RNA", at positions 30 to 502 of the family's 1533-position model. The record is from RNAcentral.
AUUGAACGCUGGCGGCAUGCCUAACACAUGCAAGUCGAACGGCAGCACGGGAGUUUGCUCCUGGUGGCGAGUGGCGGACGGGUGAGUAAUGCAUAGGAAUCUGCCCAGUAGCGGGGGACAACUUGGGGAUACUCAAGCUAAUACCGCAUGCGCCCUACGGGGGAAAGCGGGGGACCUUCGGGCCUCGCACUAUUGGAUGAGCCUAUGUCAGAUUAGCUUGUUGGUGGGGUAACGGCCUACCAAGGCGACGAUCUGUAGCUGGUCUGAGAGGACGAUCAGCCACACUGGGACUGAGACACGGCCCAGACUCCUACGGGAGGCAGCAGUGGGGAAUAUUGCACAAUGGGCGAAAGCCUGAUGCAGCAAUGCCGCGUGUGUGAAGAAGGCCUGCGGGUUGUAAAGCACUUUCAGUAGGGAGGAAACAGUAGCCGGUUAAUAUCCGGUUGCCUUGACGUUACCUACAGAAGAAGCACCGGCUAACU